Molecule: ribosomal RNA, 740 nt
Filed under: uncultured marine bacterium
Lineage: Bacteria
Description: bacterial SSU rRNA
Rfam family: Bacterial small subunit ribosomal RNA
Source: RNAcentral
GAGUUUGAUCCUGGCUCAGAACGAACGCUGGCGGCAGGCCUAACACAUGCAAGUCGAGCGCGCCUUUCGGGGUGAGCGGCGGACGGGUUAGUAACGCGUGGGAAUAUGCCCUUUGGUACGGAAUAGCCUCUGGAAACGGAGAGUAAUACCGUAUGCGCCCUUCGGGGGAAAGAUUUAUCGCCAAAGGAUUAGCCCGCGUUAGAUUAGGUAGUUGGUGGGGUAAUGGCCUACCAAGCCUACGAUCUAUAGCUGGUUUUAGAGGAUGAUCAGCAACACUGGGACUGAGACACGGCCCAGACUCCUACGGGAGGCAGCAGUGGGGAAUCUUGGACAAUGGGGGCAACCCUGAUCCAGCCAUGCCGCGUGAGUGAUGAAGGCCUUAGGGUCGUAAAGCUCUUUCGCCUGUGAAGAUAAUGACGGUAGCAGGUAAAGAAACCCCGGCUAACUCCGUGCCAGCAGCCGCGGUAAUACGGAGGGGGUUAGCGUUGUUCGGAAUUACUGGGCGUAAAGCGCACGUAGGCGGAUCGGAAAGUUGGGGGUGAAAUCCCGGGGCUCAACCCCGGAACUGCCUCCAAAACUAUCGGUCUAGAGUUCGAGAGAGGUGAGUGGAAUUCCGAGUGUAGAGGUGAAAUUCGUAGAUAUUCGGAGGAACACCAGUGGCGAAGGCGGCUCACUGGCUCGAUACUGACGCUGAGGUGCGAAAGUGUGGGGAGCAAACAGGAUUAGAUACCCUGGUAGUC